Molecule: ribosomal RNA, 505 nt
Filed under: uncultured bacterium
Lineage: Bacteria
Description: partial 16S ribosomal RNA
Rfam family: Bacterial small subunit ribosomal RNA
Source: RNAcentral
GACGAACGCUGGCGGCGUGCCUAAUACAUGCAAGUAGAACGCACAGUUUAUACCGUAGCUUGCUACACCAUAGACGGUGAGGUGCGAACGGGUGAGUAACGCGUAGGUAACCUGCCUGGUAGCGGGGGAUAAGUAUAGGACACGAUAGCUAAUACUGCAUAAUAUUGAGUAUUGCAUGAUAAUUGAUGGAAAGAUGCUAUUGCAUCACUAUCAGCUGGACCUGCGCUGUAUUAGCUAGUAGGUGAGGUAACGGCUCACCUAGGCGACGAUACAUAUACGACCGGAGAGGGGGGUCGGCCGCACGGGGACUGGAACACGGCCCAUGCGCCUGCGGGAGGGAGCAGUAGGGUAUCGUCGGCAAUAGCCGGAAGUCUGACCGAGCAACGCCGCGUGAGUGGAGAAGAUUUUCGGGUCGUAAUGCUCGGUUGUAGGAGGAGAACGGGUGUGAGAGUGGAAGGUGCACGCUGUGACGGUAUCUUACCAGAAAGGACCGGCUAACUACGUG